UCGGCGGGGCUCCAGCGGGUCCAGAGCCCUGGGAUUCAGAUGCAAACCAGCUUCGCCUAAACUCCGGGCUGUUUUCAAAGGGCUGCGGGGAUCAGUCAAUGGGCAGAGGUUGGGCUGGUGCUUUCAGCCCUAAUCAGGUCAUUAGAACAGCCACACUGGGUCAGAGCAAAGGUCCACCCAGCCCAGUGUCCUGUCUUCCCACAGCGGCCAAUGUCAGGCGCCCCAGAGGGAAUGAACAGAACAGGGAAUCACCCAGCCAUCCAUCAGGUCAGGACUGGAGCCCCAGCAGCCCCUGGGGAGGAGACACUCCUAACCCCAUCUAGCUGCAAUUCAGAGCAGGUAUUCUUCCCAGCCGGCUCUCCCUUUGUGAAACCGGGGACCAGAUCCUCAGAAGGGCCUGCCACCGCUUUGCCUGCAGUAGGGUGUAUUCGAGGAACGCGAGCGCUUGGAGUUCCCAGUGUCUCUAGAAGAGAAGUGGAUUUGCGAGACGCUCGUUCCCACGUUCAACAGCAGGCCCGUAGACAAAAGGAGAUCAGCGCAGCUCAUUAGGAAGUUCUUAGAACUCCGUACGCCAGCAGAAUAGAAGAUUAGUCAGAGCUUCCCACAACCUGCCAGACAAGAAACCCAGUCAUCAAGGCAAUGAGUUUUCCCGGCUCAUUCCCACACUAGUCAAACGUUUGAACUUUCAGGUAUGGGAGCAGCUUCCCCUGAUGUUUUGAGGAACUUCUCCUUCCUACAUGCUCUUCCGUCUCCAGUGACUUUCCUCAGUUCAUACCCUAUCCCAGGUGUUUCUAGAGUGCCCGUCACCAUAGGAUCACUAGUCCCACCUUGGGCCUCUCCCUCCCCCAGCUGUGUGGCAAUUUCCCAUGGGUAUUGGCUCACCGAGACCACCCUUGAGGGUCACCAUCUCUAAAGAAAGCCUGGUUUUAAUAGUCCAUCAAGACCGCAAUAGAAGUGACCUCACAGGGAAAGGGAGACCAGGGUUAGAAUUGCUCAUGAAAAACCCACAUCUUUAGGGGACUUCAUGUCUCAGGGAACAGGCCAUGGAAUACGGAGCCUUUCACCACUAUCUCUAGUGCAAAUCCGGAUUAAGUGGGCAGUGCCAGUCAGUGCCAUCCAGGGAUUGUUUGUUGCUCAAGGUGAAACAAGUUGUUGAUGGUAAGUUCAGUUUCUAGGGGAUGGGGAGCAUCAGUAUAGGUUCUACCCAUCAAUUACAACCGGCUCUAAAUGCCAAGGAACAAAUAAGCCACCAAGACUCUGUCCCCUCCUUGCUGUCGGGGACCCUGUGGAUAAAUGAUUCCAAUCCCCGGGACUUUUCAAGCUGGCACUACAAUCAAACAAACCAACCAGCCACCGCUCUGGGAUUCCUGCCUCCCCUCCCCUCCCAUGCAGCUCUGGGAAAUGUCCCCCGAGAGCUGCCAGCUGUGAAAAGCGGCAGCAGCUGGAAUGUGGGAGUGAGGGCAGAACUGAUGGAAAUAAAGCAGUGGUAGACCGAGCA
Molecule: long non-coding RNA, 1498 nt
Filed under: Chrysemys picta bellii (western painted turtle)
Lineage: Eukaryota; Metazoa; Chordata; Testudines; Emydidae
Description: lncRNA (ENSCPBG00000001020.1)
Source: RNAcentral